CGGCGGGUGCUGAGACUGCAAGUCGAACGGGUCUCCCGGGCUUGCUCGGGAGGCUAGUGGCGGACGGCUGAGUAACGCGUAGGUGACCUGCCCCGAAGUGGGGAAUAACUGCCCGAAAGGGUGGCUAAUACCGCAUGUGGUCGCUCGUUCGGUCGUGCGAUCAAAGCCGCAAGGCGCUUCGGGAGGGGCCUGCGUCCGAUUAGCUCGUUGGUGGGGUAACGGCUCACCAAGGCGACGAUCGGUAGGUGGUCUGAGAGGACGACCACCCAGACUGGGACUGAGACACGGCCCAGACUCCUACGGGAGGCAGCAGUCGGGAAUUUUGCUCAAUGGGCGAAAGCCUGAAGCAGCAACGCCGCGUGAGGGAUGACGGCCUUCGGGUUGUAAACCUCUUUUCUCAGGGACGAUGAUGACGGUACCUGAGGAAUAAGCCACGGCUAACUACGUGCCAGCAGCCGCGGUAAUACGUAGGUGGCGAGCGUUGUCCGGAUUUACUGGGCGUAAAGAGCGCGCAGGCGGUCGGAUUAGUCGAGUGUGAAAGCCCCCGGCUCAACUGGGGAGGGUCACUCGAUACUGUUCGACUUGAAGACGGGAGAGGGACGCGGAAUUCCCGGUGUAGUGGUGAAAUGCGUAGAUAUCGGGAGGAACACCAGUGGCGAAGGCGGCGUUCUGGCCCGCUCUUGACGCUGAGGCGCGAAAGCCAGGGGAGCAAACGGGAUUAGAUACCCCGGUAGUCCUGGCUGUAAACGAUGGAUGCUAGUGUUGGUGGUAUCAACCCCGCCAGUGCCGCAGCUAACGCACUAAGCAUCCCGCCUGGGGAGUACGGCCGCAAGGCU
RNAcentral lists this ribosomal RNA (836 nucleotides) under uncultured Chloroflexota bacterium. Its description in RNAcentral is "bacterial SSU rRNA". It matches the Rfam family "Bacterial small subunit ribosomal RNA", at positions 40 to 895 of the family's 1533-position model. Lineage: Bacteria; Bacillati; Chloroflexota. The record is from RNAcentral.